RNAcentral lists this unclassified non-coding RNA (332 nucleotides) under soil metagenome. RNAcentral describes it as "partial contains 5.8S ribosomal RNA, internal transcribed spacer 2, and large subunit ribosomal RNA". The stretch from base 1 to 120 matches the Rfam family "5.8S ribosomal RNA", at positions 35 to 154 of the family's 154-position model. The record is from RNAcentral.
GAUGAAGAACGCAGCAAAAUGCGAUAAGUAAUGUGAAUUGCAGAAUUCAGUGAAUCAUCGAAUCUUUGAACGCACAUUGCGCCCGCCAGUAUUCUGGCGGGCAUGCCUGUUCGAGCGUCAUUUCAACCCUCAAGCACAGCUUGGUGUUGGGACUCGCGUUAAUUCGCGUUCCCCAAAUUGAUUGGCGGUCACGUCGAGCUUCCAUAGCGUAGUAGUAAAACUCUCGUUACUGGUAAUCGUCGCGGCCACGCCGUUAAACCCCAACUUCUGAAUGUUGACCUCGGAUCAGGUAGGAAUACCCGCUGAACUUAAGCAUAUCAAUAAGCGGAGGA